This 2139-nucleotide long non-coding RNA is filed under the name Sus scrofa (pig). RNAcentral's name for it is "lncRNA (ENSSSCG00050012171.1)". Lineage: Eukaryota; Metazoa; Chordata; Mammalia; Artiodactyla; Suidae. The record is from RNAcentral.
GGUUUUGGAUUCAGGAAGACGGGUAGAAUUCAGUCGGCCGUAUAAGUUGCUGCAAAAUAGAAACAGCCUAUUUUACAAGAUGGUGCAACACCUGGGGGAGGCCGAGGCCGCUGCCCUCACUGAGACAGCAACACAGGUGCACAUGGAAAGGAAAUAGCCAGAAAUUACUCACAACAGCCACACGGUUCUGAAUGUUUCCAGUGGACGGGCCUCCACCUGAGCAGUGUGGGGGCAGCACUGUGAUCCUGCCAUGAGGGCAGGUGUGCUCCAGAGGCAUUUCUCCAAGUUUUUGCAUUGCAUAAACUGUAUUUUACUUUUUUUUAAUACCAGCAACAAAUAUUUACACAUACAGGAUGUUAGUUUAUUUUUUUUUUCUUACACCUUCACCCGGUGAUUGCAAGCUCUUACAAAAAUGAUUUGUUAUUUUUAUUUAUAUGUUACACUUUUUUUUCUUAUCCAAAUCAGAGGCUCAGGCCACCAAUAAAAACUGUCUCUCAGGUUUUGUGCCUCGAGAGACUCCAGAGCAAAGCUUAUUUUCUAAGCUAUAAGACAGAGUUGUCCCAGAGGUGUUUUACUGCUCCUCCCUUCCCCCAAUUACAUCCUACUACUUUCCAGUUAUAUCAGGGAUCCUGUUCACCUGAAGACUGUGUAAAGUUGUCAUUUUCACUCAUUUCUUCCUUUAACAGAACUAGGAUCCAUUAUUCCACCCAAAUACUUCACAGGAAAAACAAAAAAUAUAUACUUUAGUUUGUGACAUUAUGGAAGAGAGGUGCCCCCCCUCCAAAACAUAAAAAGACCUGUGGUUAAGAUAGAGGACAGUCUUUAUAUGGUCUAAGAGAAGGAAGAGAAAAUAUCCUCCAGAGGGAUUUGAUAAUGAAGGACACACAUGUGACUGAUCGUCUUCUGGAUGGAGGGUUUUAUUUUUUACACUUUUAUUGUGGUAAAAUGUAUUUAACGUCAAAUAAGCCUACAAUUCAGCCGCCUUAAUGGCAUUCACAGUGUUGUGCAACAAUCAAUGUCUGGUUAAUUUUUGGUAAUUAUCUUAGUACUAUUCAGGUUUUUUUCUUUUUUCUUUUUGUCUCUUUUUGUCUUUUUUUAAGGCCUGCACCCAUGGCAUAUGAAAGUUCCCAGGCGAGGGGUUGAAUUGGAGCUGCAGCCGCCAACCUACACCACAGCCCCAGCAACGCCAGAUCCAAGCCAUGUCUGUGGCCUACACCACAGCUCAUGCAAUGCCAGAUGUGUAACCCACUGAGUGAGCCCAGGGAUUGAACCUGCAUCCUCGUGGAUCCUAGUCAGGAUUGUUAACUGCUGAGCCAUGAAUGGAACUCUGCAGUGUGUUUUUUUUACAGAUUCAUUUUUGGUAAGUUUUAUUUCUCUAGGAGCGGAUCUAUUUCCUGUGAAUUUUGAGCUUGAUUGGUAUAAAGUUAACCAUAAUAUCUUAUACAUUUAAUCUCUGCAGCAUCUAUAAUUGUGUUCAUUUUGGCUUAUUAAUUUUCUUUGGACCUUCUCUCUAAGAAUAAUCUUACAUGACUUUUGCCUAUUAAUUUUCAAGAGUCAGUUUUUUUGCUUAAUUGAUCUUUGUUUUUUUUUAAAUUUUUAGUUAGUCAUAAUAUUCUUUCUUUUAACUUUUCAUUUCCUUAGAGAUUUUUUUCUCAAAAUUCUGAAAUUGGAAACAAUAUCAAUUAUUUUUCUAAUGUCAGUAGAUGAAGCCUACUUUUUCUAAGACCCACUUUAGCUUCAACCUACAGGUUUAGGUACUUGUCAAUAACCAUAGUGUUAUAUAUUUUCUAAUUUCUAAUUUAAUUAUUAGUUAUGUAUUUUACCCACAUGUUAUUCCUAAGCAUAAUGUUCUCUAAAUUUCAAAGGCUGAUUCAUUUUUUUCUAUUAGCUUGAAGCAUAUGGAACAUAACGUAGUUUUAACCUAUCAAAUGGCAGUUUUCUAUGGUUCAACAUGAUAGUUUUCUUUGGUUAAUAUUUACCUUAAUUUCAUUUUAGUCAGAGAACAUUAUGGAUUUUAAACCAAAGCUAACCGUGUUCAUUCCCAAAGUCCUGUUUCUGCAAUUUUGUAUUCUCUUUGGGGAUUUUUAAAGUUGUAAGUUGUGAAUAACUAAUAAUUUUCAAAUAAAAAUCCUGAACACU